UACGGGGGGAGCAAGCGUUGUUCGGAUUUACUGGGCGUAAAGGGCGCGUAGGCGGCCAGUGCAAGUCAGUUGUGAAAUCUCCGAGCUUAACUCGGAAAGGUCAACUGAUACUGUGCGGCUAGAGUGCGGAAGGGGCAACUGGAAUUCUUGGUGUAGCGGUGAAAUGCGUAGAUAUCAAGAGGAACACCUGCGGCGAAGGCGGGUUGCUGGGCCGACACUGACGCUGAUGCGCGAAAGCUAGGGGAGCGAACGGG
This 254-nucleotide ribosomal RNA is filed under the name uncultured bacterium. RNAcentral describes it as "partial 16S ribosomal RNA". It matches the Rfam family "Bacterial small subunit ribosomal RNA", at positions 524 to 776 of the family's 1533-position model. The record is from RNAcentral.